RNAcentral lists this transfer RNA (82 nucleotides) under Canis lupus familiaris (dog). It matches the Rfam family "tRNA". Rfam says of the family: Transfer RNA (tRNA) molecules are approximately 80 nucleotides in length. The record is from Rfam by way of RNAcentral. RNAcentral also lists the same sequence under 1 other name. Lineage: Eukaryota; Metazoa; Chordata; Mammalia; Carnivora; Canidae.
GCCCGGGUGGCUCAGCGGUUGAGCACCUGCCUUCGGCUCAGGGGUGAUCCUGGAGACCCGGGAUCGAGUCCCGCAUCGGGCU